Non-coding RNA from Struthio camelus australis, 9962 nucleotides. Lineage: Eukaryota; Metazoa; Chordata; Aves; Struthioniformes; Struthionidae. The record is from RefSeq and is a predicted model, not a curated record.
AUCUGAUUUGCACAGAAGGGGGAAGAAGGCUUUAUGGAAAAGAUAAACUGCAGACUCAACUCUUUGUAUGGGAAAGCCGGACACAAGUAGAAUAACCUAAGGACGGAAUUCAGCAAGGAUUGUCAGAUACAUUCAUCCAAAGUAAUUGCAAGACAUGAACUAAUCUCUCAUCUCUCCUUGGUGAAUACCUAAGGAACUGGCAAGUUACUGUCUAGUUGUCAUCCCCCACCAGAGGGAGUACGUUGUGGAAUUUGCACCUCAACUCAGCUUGCUUUCGUGGUGAGGACAGCAGAGUGCAGUAUACAAGGCUACUGCGAGAGGUGGUACUGCGUUUAGAAAGAAGGCUAAACUGUAUGGAAGCUCAUGUAAGUAAUGGGUUCAUUUCAACUUGAAAAUUAGUUUUGCUUUUUUCCAGCCUUUUUUUCCAGGUUAAAGCCACUAAAUGAAAGCUAGGUGUAUUCAGGAGGCAGUUAUUCUCAGAAGCGCACUGACAGAGGAACCCAUUUAUGAAAAAGGAAAUAAUAGAAGUACAUCACAGUGACAGCAGCAGAAGCCAAUUCACUGGAGAUGGCAGAUGGAGGGAAUCACUGAUAGUUACGGUUAAUGUUUGGUUAGUCUGGAAAAUAGCUGUCCGAACGUGGGGAGGAGCUGGAGAAUACCCAUGAGUGCUCUCGUGUGCUGUAGUUAGCUCAACAGAGGCCUCUGCUGAGCAAACGGUAACUGUCUGAAACAAGCUCAGAAACAGGCCAAGUAUCUCACCUUUAUAUACCCUUGUAAGGACCAUGUAGUACUUCUCUUAUGGCAGUGUUGGAAGGAAGGAAAAUUCCAAAGGGACAGACAAGUAUGAAUAGAUGCCUCUUAUUUCUGAGGGGAAAAAAAAUCAAGAAAUGUGCGAUAUAAAAUAAGAAUAAUCACACUUGAUUUGCAACUAGAGAACGUUUUACAUUUUUUGCCAUAAUUUUGUGUAUUAAAGAUUUGAAAGUCAUUUGAGCAAUCACACCAGAUAGAUUGUGAUUUGCCAUAGGAUUUAAAGCAUCCCUUUGGAUCAUUGCGAGCUGUUUUCCAUCUUCAUUUAAUUGAAUUUGCCACUCCGAAACUGAAUGAAACCUUUGAUUUAUCAGAAGUGCUUUAUUCUUCACUCUGGAUAUGUGCAGAUCUAAGCUAUAAACAGGAAAGCAGUAAAAAGUUGCAUUGGUAAAUAUUUUAGAGAACACUGCUGUUCUGUGAAGUUUAUGUUGUCUUUUCUGGUGCUAUGGAAUGCUUUUGUAGGAGCUCAUUUGGGAAAUGUAUUCUUUGAUUUUGGUAUGUAUUGAUCAACAUUUGAAGGCAAGAAUUAUUGUGAACGGUAGUAUUUUCAAAUAUCCAUUUUGUUUGUGUUUGUGAUGCUCACUUUGUUCAACUCUGCUCCAAGCAAAUUAAAGUGUACUGUUAUAAUAAGUAUGGGAAGGUUAGCAUUCAUGCUUUAGGGAUAAAACAUUUUGACAGUUCCAUUCUACGUUUGCAUUUAAAGAUUGUAAUGCUUUUAAUUAGACUCUAUGUUUGUAGUAGGAUCUCUCACAGGCAUUACUGCUGCAAGACUGUUACCUGCAGGGUUUGUUCUGGACCGCUUGUCUGCAUGGAAGUGCAGAAGCUUACUGGUUCCACAAGGAGCAUGCACAUCAUUUUCUGUGGUAUACCUCGUUUUCUUUAAUUUCGCAUGAGGUUCCAUCUGUACCACUAUUGCUGAGUCAUUUGUGUUUGUUUUUGAGGGAUUUCACAUGCAAAGACUUAAGGAGGAACAUAAGCAUAGUUUUCUCUUGCAUAUAAUAGAAGUACACAGUAGAAUCCCCAAGUGAGCAGAAGCAAGCAUUGUUUGGAGAGAAAAGAGAUUCUGCGGUGAUAGCUGUUGUCCUUUUAACCCAUGGACAGAUGAUAUUUAAAUAAACCAUAUGCACAGACAAUGGUCAAGUAUUCUGAGCUUAUGAAAAUGAUCACUGAGACAGGUUAAUGUCUGAAGGACCAAUCACUAAAACUACCCAUAUCAUUUGUUCCCCUUUUGUAUUGUCCUCCAUCUUUCUGUAUUACUAACAUUUAUCAGCAAUUUAAGUAACCCGAUAUAACAACUGCAACAUUGCUAUACCAAGAAAACGUUCACUGAGAUAGUAAGCCAAACAUACGCUAUCUCAAAAGGCUUGUGUGGCAAAUAGUCGACUAAGUCAGAGCCAAAACAAAAAAAAACUAGCUAGAUAUUUCAGACUUUUCAGAAGAGUAGGGAGAAGCAGGAAAACGUUGCAAGUUUUACUAUAAAAAUGUAUUUGGGCUGAAAUAAGGUCUUUCACACUGAUAGUCCAGCCAGUCCCUAGAGACUUUGUCUACUUAUUACUAAAUUUGCCUUGAGAGGGAUAUGAACAUAGGUGAUGUCAGAAAAUCUGAUGCAAUUGAUUCUCAGGGAGCUUCUUCCUGCAUAAUGCACCAAUACUGUGACUCCAAAGCCCAGGAAACUCAAAGAGCUUCGUACACUGCUGCAAGCUGCUCUUUUUCAUAUUUUCCUUCACUUUUAGGAGCUAGUUCUUCUAACUUGGCAGUAAAUAGCAGAGACGAGAGGUACUCUGGGAAUUCUGUUAUAUGAUAUGUACAAGCUCGUGCCUUUUGACUGUGGGGAUGGAGGAGAUACUAAAAGUAGAUAUGCACCCAGAUUGCAUCUUGCAUUUAAAAAUAUCAGAAUCUGAAGUAUACAGAAGCUAUGCAACCCUGUGGGUCUUUGACAGUGGAAGCACUGCUACGAGAACUGGAAGAUGACUUUGAGAUGAUUACUGCCUCCAGCUUCCUGUUGCUGCCUACGAGCAAGGGGUUAUCACAGGUCAGCUGGCAGAACAGAAAGUGUGGCAGUAUGUGGUGGGUUUAUAUUGAUUUUAUAUUUGUGUGACUGAUUUUAUACCAAAGUGGAUGAAGAGCACUCUUCUAUUGCACUUUUGUGGGUGCACACCAAAGCUUCCAGCACAGGGCAGCAGCUGGCUGCUGGACGGCCACGAUAUCGUAAUACCUGCUGGGCAAUCAGAAUGGGCACCCCAGCAUGCUUUGCUGAAUCAAGGUCUUUUUGCCUUUUGAAAGGCUGUGCUGCACAUAUGUGUGAAUUGGCAUGAGCUCAUUGAUACCAGUCAUCUAUUUCAGUGGACCCAAAAGAUUCAUUGAGGGUCUGCCACUUAAUUCUUGAAUUUAUUUCUGAUGAGAAGGGAACAAAAUCACAGAUAAAUGCAAAAAGAAUGGUUGGGUGGUUAGUUGAACUGUUGGCCUUAGAAUGGGAAGGGCAAUAACGAUAAAGACCUUCAGCAUCACCUAUCAGCAUCACCAGUGAUAUGUUUUAAGUUUUAAACCUGUAAUACUUUUUAAAAUCCUAAUGAUUUACUUCUAUUGCUCAGUAUUACUGAAAGGCCCAUUACAGUGCUGGAAGGAACAACACCUUAACACAGAAGCAUUAAGAAUUGUAUUCAUAGAUAUUCAAAGUCAGAAGUACUGUUAUGACACCACGUAUGACACUACAUAUUUUAACCUCUUGCACAAUCCUAUUUCCACCUGCAUAUUCCUUCAGCAAGGAGCUCUGUCAUCAGUAAUUGAACAAGAACAUGCCUCAGUUUAAUUCUCAGUUAAGUAGAGCCAUUCCUAUUCUGAAUAUUACUUGAACUUAAUUUUAGGCAUGCCUGUAAGUCCAUCAUGUUUGAUAAGAUUGAGGUCAAUAGGCCUCGAAUUAACAGUAGGCUGAAGUGUUGUUCUGAACGAGGCCUUAAUUUGGUAAUAAAUAACAAAUCACACGUGCACAUCGACACUUGUAUUCCUUCAAACUUCCCUCAGGAAAUAUGCACUGAAAUUAUUACGUAUGCAUCAGGAGAUCUGCUCUUGCUGCUAAGUGUUUAUAAUUCACCCUUGCACUACUUUUACACUAUUGGUGUCAGUUGAGCUUUUGACCUAAGUAGGAGCAGAGUCCAGGACGAUAUGUAUCUUGCAGGAAAUAUUUAUUAAUUGAGAUGGUCAAGUCAAACUGUUGCCUGACAAAGGUUACCAGAAAGCCAUAGGCUGGAAAAUGAACAACUACAUAAAGCUGAAUAUUAUUGUCAUGGGAACAUCAUCCCAGCACUAACUAUUUGGUGUUACUUGCUCACCCCGUUGGAGUAAAUAUUUAUAAUUGUUAUUAUUGUAGCAUGUGUCUAGCGCAUAAACUGCCCAUGUGACUAGUAAGAGCUGGAUUAUUCAUGAGGAGAGACCGAGAAAAUGACUUGAAAAAUGUCAAAGACAGACUGGCAGAUGGAAUUUUCUCAUGUAGCAUUCACAUUUGAAAAGAAUUUACAUUUUUUUCUCUCACUUCCUCAUAUAUGCAAACAAGGAAGCAAAAAAACGCUAUCUCCCAGUUUCGUAAGAAAGGCACUCAAGAAAACAGAAGUCAGAAAUACCAUAGCUACUGAAAGAAAGCUCGAACAUGGGAACACUUUGGUGGACCCAGUCUUCAGGAGUGCAUGACGUUUCUCUGACAUCGAGAGGUGCUUCUGACCUUCCAAGACAGAUUGCUGUGAGCAGUGAGCUCUCAUCCUGUGUCACUGAGAAAGCCUAGGAUCAGUGUCCGCUGAACAGCAAUUCAUGUGGUCCCAUGCUCCUACAUCACAUGUCCCAACAACUUGUGGAAAAUAAUGGAGAGAGCUUUUUAAAGUCUGGAGAGAGGUAUAGACAGACAUACUCCAGAGUUGUGGCACCCAUUAAUAGAUUAACCAAGCCCGCGCAGCUGUGUUUUGAUCAGUGGAAAGGUUUCCUGGCAUCCAAGAACUGAAAUCACCUUUUGGGUAUGACAAGCGCAUCUAAGUAUCUAGCAAGUGAAAAUCAAGGGUUUCUGUAAGGAAGGAGUAAGAACACCUACCACAAAAAAUUAGAAGUAAAAUAACCUUUAAUAAUUGCAACAAUGCAAACGCAAUUGCAUGUAUUGCCCUCUAUUGGCAUUUAGCCACUGAUCAUUUGCUAGCUCAUAAAGCUGAUUUGUGCUCUUUCCUCAUGUCCCUGUUUCCCUGAGCCGUUGGCCUCUUUUCACCACUCCUUUCCCACAGACACACACACAACUGGGAUCCAGACAAGCUUUUCUCUCUUCCUCUGAAGCUCUGCUUUUUAGCACAUGAGGAAAGGAGGAGCUUUUUAAGCAGCUUUCAUUCUUUGUUGAAUGCUGCUUACAUACCUUCCACGUGUCUAGCAAGAGUAUCUAAGAUGUUAGACAAGGAAACAGGUAUAAUUCAGAGAAAACCUGACUUGAUUGAGUGGGGUCAAAACGUUUCAUUCUCCUCUUUCUUUUGAAACCCCACAUUUGCUGGCUCACACUUCUUUCAUUGUAGCUUUCCAUUGGACAUAAUUAUGUAAGGAGUCUGCGUUAGUCUUCAGGUUAGGAAGUUCAGGUAGAUUCGGUGAAUUCUAUGACUCACCAAAGUCAUUGUGACAACACAGAAUGGUUUCUCCCCUCAAACAGCUGAAGCACCAAAAUUGUUGAGGGCACCAAAACUUAUUUUCAGAAAUCCAAUUUUGACAUUCCCCAGGUUUUAGCAUCUAGUAGACAAGGUAAAGUUCCAAAUUCCUAAUUCCCAGAUCUAAUUGUACAUGUGAAUCAGGCUUGUGAGGAAACACAAAAAUUGCUGACCUCUAAAUUAUGUGCCCAAGUAUUUGAAUUGUCGUCUUGGGAGCUACAAAUUUAAGGUUGUUUGUAGAAGCUUUUAAAAGCUAUAAGCCACCAAAGGCUUUUGGAACAAAAUUCCUGUGGUCAUUUCCAGGCUUGGUCAUAUAUAUCAGUUAUUUCUUGAGCUUUCCUUCAUCAAGGGCAAUUUUUAUCAAGUAGGUUAAGAAUGGAGAUUUACCAAAGUAUUUGAUGGGUUUUUAUAUGGUCUGUGUCCUGAGCAUUUAUUUGCUACGUUAGGCACCUCUUUUAACCAAAUGCUGUUUGUUGUUGUAGAAACCCAUUCUAACAGGAGCUAGGUGACCCAUGAAAAUGUGAGCCAACCAACGGAGUUUGCAGCUUUCAAGUACUUUUCAAUACUUCUGUUUUCAGAUUCUUUAAACAGCAUCUCUCUCUCAGUCAGAAACCACAGAUGGCACAGGCCUGAUUCUCUUUCUCAUCACUAAGGCUGAUUUAUAUCACACCAGCAGUAGAAAGGGACCUGCAAAAUGGGUGGGUGUAAUGAGAUGGACUUUAGUAUCUCUUCUACACUAUUGGAGUGGCAGAGGGGAGUCUUAAACCUGUAUCCUUAUCCCUUUUGUGUCUUGCUUGGAGGAGCUUCAGGUAGGACUAACGCGGGUUGGGAACCAGGACUUCUCCACGCUGGUUUCUGAGCUGCUGGAGAAUGGCUGCACCAACACACUAAGCACAGGCACGCUUCUGCACAUUUAUCUUAGGUGCUGCCUGGUUUCAGGUCAUUACACCUCUCUGGAGUUUUCUCUGGCUUAACGCGCAACUCACAAAGCACAGGGACUGGAGCACAGGGCUCAGCAUACGUUCUUCUAUUUGAAAGCAGCUCCAUAGCAUCCACAAGAGGAUUCCUGGCACCUGCCUAGUUAAGCUGGAUGUCCAAUGUUAUCUCUCCAGCUAUGUUAACUCUUCUCUCACCCAAGACAAGAUCUUGUGCCCCAAUGGGAUAUAAUGAAAAUAUGCUUCUGAAAUUUUCUUUGACAUCAUCUUCUGACAACGCGUCUGACUCGAAUACAGCCUGCAUAAGGAAGAAGAAUCAGGUUCUCAGCCCCCACACAUGAAACCACCAUUAAAACACUCCGGCUCAGAUCUUCUUGGUGCAUAAAAGUGGAAGCUGCUUCAGCUGCAAAAGAAGCCAGGUUGAGGAAACUUGAGCGCUAGAUCGAGUGACUUCAAGCACUACAACGUAUGGAAGUGCAAAUGUAUGCAAGUAUCAACUAAACAUAUUAACAAGAGACAUCUUACUCCGAGGCAUGGUUCUCCUCCUUUUGCUCCGCCUGUUGCAAGGUGUCCAUGACAGAAUGAAGCCUGGAUAGCUGAACCGGUACAGACUGGGGCUACGUUUGUCUUUGCAUAUAUGGCUUUAUAUCUAUUGCCUUUAGUAUGAUCUGAAGCUCAUGAAGCUUGAAGUUCCUAUUUGGGCAGCACUCCUAGGGUGCCUGUGGCUAGGAGUGAGCUCAGAUGAUUAGCUUAAUGUUUCUGCAGAGUACUGGGAAAGAGCCAACCAGACUUCAGAGCGCUACAUACAACACACAAAUAAGCGGGUCCUGCAAUCCUGGAAACUUCAUUUAAGAUGGAAUUUGAAGUUCCUUGAAGAAGGACUACAAAGCAGAAUAUGUAAUUCAGGGUGAGAGUCAAGAAAUAGCUUGUUCAGCCAUGCUAAUAGCCCAAAGCUCACCAUGUAAGGGAUGUAAAGGAUAGAAAUUGUUUUCCUAACCCCAAAUUUGGUUUAUGAAAUUGUGUGGAAGGGUCUUCUUGAAGAUUGUUCUAUUGAAUUACUUGGAUUAUUCGUUACUUGAGCUCUACUCAGGGAAGGACAAGAAAGUGCCAGUUUCGUCUUCUAACUACAUGAUCUUGGGCUUAUGGAGCAGUGUUUUAUCAAGGCCAUCUCUGGAUCAUGGUGACUGAUGUAGCAUCCGCUGAUAGUUCAAGUUGAUAGUUGGCUGGCAACUGAGAGCUUCCCUCUUCCCUGUCUUUUUCAGCUGCAGAAUUAUUCUAAGAUACAGGAAACUCGGAGUUACCUUUUGGGGUAGGCAGCUGCUGUUUUUGCAACUUGAACGUUAAAUGAUCACAAAUGGGAAAAAGAAAGUUGCAAAACUGCGGCUGGGGGAGCAGAUUACUCUGUGAGGAAAUGGGCUCCCCACAAGCUGCAGAAAAGUGCUUGCAAGUCAGUGAGCAAAUGUAUUUACACUCAUGAGAUAACACGUUGCCACUGCAGACCGGUUCGUUUAACAGACUUGCCCAAACUGGGUGCCAAAGGUACUCUGCUUAGCACAGGCAUGGAAAGCACAAGAUUAUUCAUAUGACGUUUACUUUAUUGAAACUCGUAGCUGCCAAGCUAGUUCUUGUGUUGAUGCAAAGACUGUGACAAUUUUCACAUUGUAAACACCAUACAUUAAUCAGGGCAUCCCAAUAUUAUGCAAAUAAAAUGUAUGUAGUUACAAAUUCUUCCACUGUGUUUGAAUCAAAAAUAUGUCAUGGAAUUGAGUCAGGUUGUCAGAGUCAUUUCAUCAGUCACGAAAUUUGGGACCAAUGCAGGCAAUGUUUCCCCUGAGGUAUGAGACCUGUUUAUCCCGCAGUGGCUGCAUAUUGUCCAAAUUAGAAUGAAAUCUCAAAAUGUAAAUAAAAAUGUGCACUUUAUAAAUCUAAUUUGACUGGGAAAAAUCUGUCUGUGACAACAGGUCUUCCUUUGCUAGAUGAUUACCUUGUAGAAAAUCAUCGGUACAACUGCCAUAUGAACUUUUGGCCUUGUAUUUUUAUUUUGGCAGGCUACAGAGAUUUAGCAUAAUUUUGUUUCAAAGGUAAGCAAAUCUUAAAGGAGCAUUUUUUUGAAGAGCACAUCUUUUUCCAUAAAAACCCCAGAAAAUAUGUGCCUCAGUCCUACUUUUUCAUUUAGUUUUAAAUGGCUCCCACCUCCAUAUUUUAUGCUAUUUUAAAUGGUGCUUUGAUUAAAGAAAUGAUAGCUAUGAUAAUUUAAAAACAAAAUCCACACUAAGACUCUCAUGAAUAUAUACCCAGCUGCAAAGCAAUUGUGAUUGUGAAGUUUUCCUGCUGUAUAAAGGCACUUUUCUUAAAGCAAGAUGUUUGGAGGAAAUCUUGACUGAUAGCUAGUUAUAUCUCAUCAUCUGAUAUCAGAUGUAUUUUUUCAUGGCUGUUCUUUUGACAUGUACAUUUUUCAGUGUCUUUUUUUUUUUCCUACCCAGAGUUAUUUCUGUAAUGGGAGAUACCACAAUAUGUCUUUGGAAGAUGUUUUCGCAGCCCAGAGUGGUUUUUAAACUUCUGUAUCUAAGGCUAGAGAAAUCUGUGUCACUUCAUUUCUAAAAUUCUUUAUUUCUGGUGGAGGUACAUUGUGGCUUUAUAUGGCUUUGAUACACUGAGAUAUAAAAAAUUAAACUAGCAUAUAAAGGGAUGUGGCUUGUAGGAAAAAUUUCCCUUGUGGCAUAAAAUAAAAUUCUUGGUUCUUUUUAGAAAUCACCCUAUCCAUACAUGCUGACCACUGCAUACCAAACUGGCUGGGAAGGUCUUUGACCUAAGCUGCCUACCUGAAAUGCCGUCUAAUUUCUUUCAUUAACCUAGAAAAAGAUAUAUAAUGAAUAGAGUUAUAUAUGAAGAUCAGUAAUAAUUCUGAAAUAUAGGAAUUUUCUCAAGUGUGUGGUACUGAAUUAAAAAAAAAAAAGCUUGUUUUUAAUGUAGGAAUUAAGACAUUCUGCUACCAAAAAAAGAAAAAAAUCAAAUGGAGGAAAUAAUGAUAGGCUUUAGGUUGUGAGAGUAUUUGUAGUUAUUAGCACUCUCUUGGUUCUCUGUAUAGUCACAUUGAAAAGUGCAUGGAAGUCUCUUGCAGUGCUGCAUAUUUAUGAAUGUAUUUUUCUGCCUUAUAAGCUGUACACACAGACAGUUGCUAUACACUGGUGCGGGAUAUCGCUGGUAAGGGAAUGAAGCAAUCUAGGUAUCUUUUAUUCCCCAGUUUUUAACCAUCUUGCCUGACGAUUUUCCAUCUAGCUUGUUUACUUCAUGAUUUAUGUCUAAAUUGACAGAGUCCUUCGAAGGCAUUUGUGUUAAAUUUGAAACAAACAUAUUUAAUGCUUGUGUUGUAAUAAAACAGCUAAAAGAGCAGAUUAAAAAGAUAUGCACAGAGGGGCCUGAUUGAUUGAGGGAUUGAUUUUACUACUUUUCCCGUAGGUGGGGAGUGAUGGCUGUAAAUCUCCUGAUAAUCAUUUCAGAAUCACCUUCAUCAAUAAACUCAAAGGGACAGCUAGGUGUAAAAAUUUGCCAGCCA